UGGGGAAUUUUGCACAAUGGGGGAAACCCUGAUGCAGCGACGCCGCGUGAUUUAGAAGGCCUUCGGGUUGUAAAAAUCUUUUCUAUGGGAAGAAAAUGACAGUACCAUAGGAAUAAGGACCGGCCAAUUACGUGCCAGCAGCCGCGGUAAUACGUAAGGUCCGAGCGUUGUCCGGAAUCAUUGGGCGUAAAGGGUACGUAGGCGGGUAAGCAAGUUAGAAGUGAAAUCCUAUAGCUCAACUAUAGUAAGCUUUUAAAACUGCUCCUCUUGAAGGAUGGAAGGGAAAGUGGAAUUCCUAGUGUAGCGGUGAAAUGCGCAGAUAUUAGGAGGAAUACCGGUGGCGAAGGCGGCUUUCUGGCCAUAACCUGACGCUGAGGUACGAAAGCGUGGGUAGCAAACAGG
This 402-nucleotide ribosomal RNA is filed under the name bacterium. RNAcentral's name for it is "partial 16S ribosomal RNA". It matches the Rfam family "Bacterial small subunit ribosomal RNA", at positions 355 to 776 of the family's 1533-position model. The record is from RNAcentral.